This 117-nucleotide small RNA is filed under the name Callithrix jacchus (white-tufted-ear marmoset). RNAcentral's name for it is "Metazoan signal recognition particle RNA (ENSCJAG00000082037.1)". Lineage: Eukaryota; Metazoa; Chordata; Mammalia; Primates; Cebidae. The record is from Rfam by way of RNAcentral.
GCUGGGCGUGGUGGCUCACGCCUGUAAUCCCAGCACCUUGGGAGGCAGAGGCGGGUGGAUCACCUGAGGUCAGGAGUUCAAGACCAUCCUGGCCAACAUGGUGAAACCCUGUCUUAA